UCCACGGCCCCUGCCACUCCACAAACAUGGUAGGCCAGCCGUGAAAAAAGGAGGAAAAGUUCAAGCCCGGACUCGGGCUGCGGCAGUGUGGAGACCUGUCGCAACGCGGCGCAGUCCAACGCGGCUGGCCGUGAGCACACAGCAAGCGGAUGCUCUGUGUGCGGAGUCGAGAAACAUGGCA
Molecule: non-coding RNA, 181 nt
Filed under: unclassified sequences
Description: malK-I RNA
Rfam family: malK-I RNA
Source: RNAcentral